This 492-nucleotide ribosomal RNA is filed under the name uncultured bacterium. RNAcentral's name for it is "partial 16S ribosomal RNA". It matches the Rfam family "Bacterial small subunit ribosomal RNA", at positions 29 to 507 of the family's 1533-position model. The record is from RNAcentral.
AUUGAACGCUGGCGGCAUGCUUUACACAUGCAGGUCGAACGGUAACAGGCCUUCGGGUGCUGACGAGUGGCGAACGGGUGAGUAAUGCAUCGGAACGUACCCAGAGGUGGGGGAUAACGCAGCGAAAGCUGUGCUAAUACCGCAUGUGAUCUGAGGAUGAAAGCGGGGGACCGAGCAGCAAUGUUUGGCCUCGCGCCUUUGGAGCGGCCGAUGUCGGAUUAGCUAGUUGGUGGGGUAAAGGCCUACCAAGGCGACGAUCCGUAGCUGGUCUGAGAGGACGACCAGCCACACUGGGACUGAGACACGGCCCAGACUCCUACGGGAGGCAGCAAUGGGGAAUUUUGGACAAUGGGCGCAAGCCUGAUCCAGCAAUGCCGCGUGCGGGAAGAAGGCCUUCGGGUUGUAAACCGCUUUUGGCAGGAACGAAACGGUGUCCGCUAAUACCGGGCGCUAAUGACGGUACCUGCAGAAUAAGCACCGGCUAACUACGUG